This 307-nucleotide ribosomal RNA is filed under the name uncultured eukaryote. RNAcentral's name for it is "partial 18S ribosomal RNA". It matches the Rfam family "Eukaryotic small subunit ribosomal RNA", at positions 1470 to 1796 of the family's 1831-position model. The record is from RNAcentral.
CCCUUAGACGUUCUGGACCGCACGCGCGCUACACUGACGAAGGCAACGAGCUUUCCUUUACCGAAAGGUACGGGUAAUCUUUUGAAACUUCGUCGUGCUGGGGAUAGAUCCUUGCAAUUUUUGAUCUUAAACGAGGAAUGCCUAGUAAGCGCAAGUCAUCAACUUGCGUUGAUUACGUCCCUGCCCUUUGUACACACCGCCCGUCGCUACUACCGAUUGAAUGGUUUAGUGAGGCCUUCGGAUCCGCGACUCGUUUGUGGAGAAGUUGGACAAACUCAGUCAUUUAGAGGAAGUAAAAGUCGUAACA